This 244-nucleotide ribosomal RNA is filed under the name uncultured bacterium. RNAcentral's name for it is "partial 16S ribosomal RNA". It matches the Rfam family "Bacterial small subunit ribosomal RNA", at positions 118 to 354 of the family's 1533-position model. The record is from RNAcentral.
UGGGUAACCUGCCCAAAAGACUGGGAUAACACCUGGAAACAGAUGCUAAUACCGGAUAACAACACUAGACGCAUGUCUAGAGUUUAAAAGAUGGUUCUGCUAUCACUCUUGGAUGGACCUGCGGUGCAUUAGCUAGUUGGUAAGGUAACGGAUUACCAAGGCAAUGAUGCAUAGCCGAGUUGAGAGACUGAUCGGCCACAUUGGGACUGAGACACGGUCCAAACUCCUAAGGGAGGCAGCAGGC